RNAcentral lists this non-coding RNA (21 nucleotides) under Arabidopsis thaliana (thale cress). Lineage: Eukaryota; Viridiplantae; Streptophyta; Magnoliopsida; Brassicales; Brassicaceae. The record is from RNAcentral.
GUCGGCCAGAUAAAUUGGCGU